Molecule: ribosomal RNA, 1528 nt
Filed under: Klebsiella pneumoniae
Lineage: Bacteria; Pseudomonadati; Pseudomonadota; Gammaproteobacteria; Enterobacterales; Enterobacteriaceae
Description: bacterial SSU rRNA
Rfam family: Bacterial small subunit ribosomal RNA
Source: RNAcentral
AGAGUUUGAUCAUGGCUCAGAUUGAACGCUGGCGGCAGGCCUAACACAUGCAAGUCGAGCGGUAGCACAGAGAGCUUGCUCUCGGGUGACGAGCGGCGGACGGGUGAGUAAUGUCUGGGAAACUGCCUGAUGGAGGGGGAUAACUACUGGAAACGGUAGCUAAUACCGCAUAACGUCGCAAGACCAAAGUGGGGGACCUUCGGGCCUCAUGCCAUCAGAUGUGCCCAGAUGGGAUUAGCUAGUAGGUGGGGUAACGGCUCACCUAGGCGACGAUCCCUAGCUGGUCUGAGAGGAUGACCAGCCACACUGGAACUGAGACACGGUCCAGACUCCUACGGGAGGCAGCAGUGGGGAAUAUUGCACAAUGGGCGCAAGCCUGAUGCAGCCAUGCCGCGUGUGUGAAGAAGGCCUUCGGGUUGUAAAGCACUUUCAGCGGGGAGGAAGGCGGUAAGGUUAAUAACCUCAUCGAUUGACGUUACCCGCAGAAGAAGCACCGGCUAACUCCGUGCCAGCAGCCGCGGUAAUACGGAGGGUGCAAGCGUUAAUCGGAAUUACUGGGCGUAAAGCGCACGCAGGCGGUCUGUCAAGUCGGAUGUGAAAUCCCCGGGCUUAACCUGGGAACUGCAUUCGAAACUGGCAGGCUAGAGUCUUGUAGAGGGGGGUAGAAUUCCAGGUGUAGCGGUGAAAUGCGUAGAGAUCUGGAGGAAUACCGGUGGCGAAGGCGGCCCCCUGGACAAAGACUGACGCUCAGGUGCGAAAGCGUGGGGAGCAAACAGGAUUAGAUACCCUGGUAGUCCACGCCGUAAACGAUGUCGAUUUGGAGGUUGUGCCCUUGAGGCGUGGCUUCCGGAGCUAACGCGUUAAAUCGACCGCCUGGGGAGUACGGCCGCAAGGUUAAAACUCAAAUGAAUUGACGGGGGCCCGCACAAGCGGUGGAGCAUGUGGUUUAAUUCGAUGCAACGCGAAGAACCUUACCUGGUCUUGACAUCCACAGAACUUUCCAGAGAUGGAUUGGUGCCUUCGGGAACUGUGAGACAGGUGCUGCAUGGCUGUCGUCAGCUCGUGUUGUGAAAUGUUGGGUUAAGUCCCGCAACGAGCGCAACCCUUAUCCUUUGUUGCCAGCGGUCCGGCCGGGAACUCAAAGGAGACUGCCAGUGAUAAACUGGAGGAAGGUGGGGAUGACGUCAAGUCAUCAUGGCCCUUACGACCAGGGCUACACACGUGCUACAAUGGCAUAUACAAAGAGAAGCGACCUCGCGAGAGCAAGCGGACCUCAUAAAGUAUGUCGUAGUCCGGAUUGGAGUCUGCAACUCGACUCCAUGAAGUCGGAAUCGCUAGUAAUCGUAGAUCAGAAUGCUACGGUGAAUACGUUCCCGGGCCUUGUACACACCGCCCGUCACACCAUGGGAGUGGGUUGCAAAAGAAGUAGGUAGCUUAACCUUCGGGAGGGCGCUUACCACUUUGUGAUUCAUGACUGGGGUGAAGUCGUAACAAGGUAACCGUAGGGGAACCUGCGGUUGGAUCACCU